AUUGAACGCUGGCGGCGUGCCUAAUAAAUGCAAGUCGAACGGAGUGUCGCCCGGGUGAGUAAUGUAUAGCUAAUCUGCCCUCCCCUAUAGGACAACAGUUGGCAACGACUGCUAAUACUCUAUAGUGUAGGAUGAGACUAUAUUGUAUCAGCUAGUUGGUGAGGUAAUGGCUCACCAAGGCUAUGACGAAUAAAUGUUAUGAGAGGAUGAUCAGUCACACGGGAAAUGAGACACGGUACAGACGCCUACGGGAGGCAGCAGUAGGGAAUAUUGCUCAAUGGGGGAAACCCUGAAGCAGCAACGCCGCGUGGAGGAUGACACUUUUCGGAGCGUAAACUCCUUUUGUUAGGGAAGCGGUACCUAACGAAUAAGCACCGGCUAACUCCGUGCCAGCAGCGGCGGUAAUAC
Molecule: ribosomal RNA, 408 nt
Filed under: uncultured bacterium
Lineage: Bacteria
Description: partial 16S ribosomal RNA
Rfam family: Bacterial small subunit ribosomal RNA
Source: RNAcentral